GACGAACGCUGGCGGCGUGCUUAACACAUGCAAGUUGAACGAAGAGCGAUGGAAGCUUGCUUCUAUCAAUCUUAGUGGCGAACGGGUGAGUAACGCGUAAUCAACCUGCCCUUCAGAGGGGGACAACAGUUGGAAACGACUGCUAAUACCGCAUACGAUCUAAUCUCGGCAUCGAGGAUGGAUGAAAGGUGGCCUCUAUGUAUAAGCUAUCACUGAAGGAGGGGAUUGCGUCUGAUUAGCUAGUUGGAGGGGUAACGGCCCACCAAGGCGAUGAUCAGUAGCCGGUCUGAGAGGAUGAACGGCCACAUUGGGACUGAGACACGGCCCAGACUCCUACGGGAGGCAGCAGUGGGGAAUCUUCCGCAAUGGACGAAAGUCUGACGGAGCAACGCCGCGUGAGUGAUGACGGCCUUCGGGUUGUAAAGCUCUGUUAAUCGGGACGAAAGGCCUUCUUGCGAACAGUU
RNAcentral lists this ribosomal RNA (464 nucleotides) under Veillonella dispar. RNAcentral's name for it is "bacterial SSU rRNA". It matches the Rfam family "Bacterial small subunit ribosomal RNA", at positions 28 to 468 of the family's 1533-position model. The record is from RNAcentral. Lineage: Bacteria; Bacillati; Bacillota; Negativicutes; Veillonellales; Veillonellaceae.